UCCCUUGUGGUCCAGCAGUUAAGACUCCGCACUUUCAAUGCAGGAAGCACAGGUUCGAUCCCUGAUCAGGGAA
This 73-nucleotide transfer RNA is filed under the name Bos taurus (domestic cattle). It matches the Rfam family "tRNA". From Rfam's summary of the family: Transfer RNA (tRNA) molecules are approximately 80 nucleotides in length. The record is from Rfam by way of RNAcentral. RNAcentral also lists the same sequence under 1 other name. Lineage: Eukaryota; Metazoa; Chordata; Mammalia; Artiodactyla; Bovidae.